GGCCGCAGUAUAUUAACUGUGCAAAGGUAGCAUAAUCAUUAGUCUUUUAAUUGAAGGCUGGUAUGAAUGGUUGGACAAAAUAUUAACUGUUUCAUGUUAAUUUAUAAUAGAAUUUUAUUUUUUAGUUAAAAAGCUAAAAUGAAUUUAAAAGACGAGAAGACCCUAUAAAUCUUUAUAUUUAAAUUAUAAUAAUUUCUUAUAAAUGUUUAAUUAUUAUAAUUAAUAAUAUUUUAUUGGGGUGAUAUUAAAAUUUAAUAAACUUUUAAUUAAUAAUUUCAUUAAUUUAUGAAUAAUUGAUCCAUUAGUAAUGAUUAAAAAAAUAAGUUACUUUAGGGAUAACAGCGUAAUUUUUUUGGAGAGUUCAUAUUAAUAAAAAAGAUUGCGACCUCGAUGUUGGAUU
RNAcentral lists this ribosomal RNA (400 nucleotides) under Epicampocera succincta. RNAcentral's name for it is "partial 16S rRNA". Lineage: Eukaryota; Metazoa; Arthropoda; Insecta; Diptera; Tachinidae. The record is from RNAcentral.